UGAAUACGAGACGCUAAGGCGUCGAAGUAGUGUAUGUCAUACUUCCAAGAAAAGCUUGCACUGUCAUAAAUAAAGAAUGCCUGUACCAUAACCGACACAGGUGGGUAGGUAGAGUAUACUAAGGGGCGCGAGAUAACUCUCUCUAAGGAACUCGGCAAAAUAACUCCGUAACUUCGGGAGAAGGAGUGCCUUAUUCUUAAGGUUGCAAUAACAAGAUCCAAGCAACUGUUUAUCAAAAACACAGGUCUCCGCUAAGUCGCAAGACGAUGUAUGGGGGCUGACGCCUGCCCAGUGCCAGAAGGUUAAAGAAGUUGGUUAGCUUUUGCGAAGCUGAUAACUGAAGCCCUGGUGAACGGCGGCCGUAACUAUAACGGUCCUAAGGUAGCGAAAUUCCUUGUCGGGUAAGUUCCGACCCGCACGAAAGGCGUAAUGAUUUGGAUACUGUCUCGGAGAGGGGCUCGGUGAAAUAGACUUGUCUGUGAAGAUGCGGACUACCUGCACCAGGACAGAAAGACCCUAUGAAGCUUUACUGUAACUUGAAAUUGAAAUUGGACUUUAUUCGCGCAGUAUAGGUGGGAGGCGUUGACUGUAAUCUUGCGGGAUUAUUGGAGCCAUCAGUGAGAUACCACUCUUGUAAUGUUAGAUUUCUAACUUUGUAUCAUUAUCUGGUCAAAGAACAGUUUCAGGCGGGCAGUUUGACUGGGGCGGUCGCCUCCUAAACGGUAACGGAGGCGUACAAAGGUUUCCUCUGAACGGUUAGAAAUCGUAUCUAGAGUGUAAAGGCAUAAGGAAGCUUGACUGUGAGACCUACAAGUCGAGCAGGGACGAAAGUCGGUCUUAGUGAUCUGACGGUACUGAGUGGAAAGGCCGUCACUCAACGGAUAAAAGUUACUCUAGGAUAACAGGCUGAUCUCCCCCAAGAGUUCACAUCGACGGGGAGGUUUGGCACCUCGAUGUCGGCUCAUCGCAUCCUGGGGCGGUAGUACGUCCCAAGGGUUGGGCUGUUCGCCCAUGAAAGCGGUACCGAGCUGGGUUCAGAACGUCGUGAGACAGUUCGGUCCAUAUCCGGUGUAGGCGUUAGAAUAUUGAGAGGAGCCUUCUUUAGUACGAGAGGACCGAGAAGGACAUACCUCUGGUGUACCAGUUAUCGUGCCAACGGUAAACGCUGGGUAGCUAUGUAUGGAGUGGAUAACCGCUGAAAGCAUCUAAGUGGGAAGCCCACCUCAAGAUAAGUAUUCUC
This 1240-nucleotide ribosomal RNA is filed under the name metagenome. RNAcentral describes it as "bacterial LSU rRNA". It matches the Rfam family "Bacterial large subunit ribosomal RNA", at positions 1564 to 2815 of the family's 2925-position model. The record is from RNAcentral.